This 156-nucleotide ribosomal RNA is filed under the name Draba mogollonica. RNAcentral's name for it is "5.8S ribosomal RNA". It matches the Rfam family "5.8S ribosomal RNA". Rfam says of the family: 5.8S ribosomal RNA (5.8S rRNA) is a component of the large subunit of the eukaryotic ribosome. It is transcribed by RNA polymerase I as part of the 45S precursor that also contains 18S and 28S rRNA. The record is from RNAcentral. RNAcentral also lists the same sequence under 13 other names. Lineage: Eukaryota; Viridiplantae; Streptophyta; Magnoliopsida; Brassicales; Brassicaceae.
AUAACGACUCUCGGCAACGGAUAUCUCGGCUCUCGCAUCGAUGAAGAACGUAGCGAAAUGCGAUACUUGGUGUGAAUUGCAGAAUCCCGUGAACCAUCGAGUCUUUGAACGCAAGUUGCGCCCCAAGCCUUCAGGCCGAGGGCACGUCUGCCUGGG